RNAcentral lists this ribosomal RNA (279 nucleotides) under uncultured bacterium. RNAcentral's name for it is "partial 16S ribosomal RNA". It matches the Rfam family "Bacterial small subunit ribosomal RNA", at positions 506 to 784 of the family's 1533-position model. The record is from RNAcentral.
UGCCAGCAGCCGCGGUAAUACGGGAAGGGCAUGCGUUAUCCGGCAUCACUGGGCGUAAAGCGUACGUAGGUGGCAAAGUCAGUCAGGCGUGAAAGCCCUCGGCUCAACCGAGGAAUUGCGUUUGAUACUACUUUGCUAGAGUCUCGGAGAGGUUGGCGGAAUUCCAGGUGUAGGAGUGAAAUCCGUAGAUAUCUGGAGGAACACCAGUGGCGAAGGCGGCCAACUGGACGAGUACUGACACUGAGGUACGAAAGCGUGGGUAGCAAACAGGAUUAGAUA